This 4031-nucleotide long non-coding RNA is filed under the name Lupinus angustifolius (narrow-leaved blue lupine). RNAcentral's name for it is "long non-coding RNA (LANG_LNC000759)". The record is from RNAcentral. Lineage: Eukaryota; Viridiplantae; Streptophyta; Magnoliopsida; Fabales; Fabaceae.
GAUUAUCCCUUUUCAUAAAAAAGGAGGAGAUACAGAGAAAAAUAGAAGACAAAUCCGUAAAAACCAUCCAGCAGCAAUCUAAAACAAGAUCAUCCAACAACAAGUCUAAAAACAAUACUGAAAUUCAGAAACAAGUGAGGACAAGAAAGUAUAUGGGAGGAGCCUAGAGGAGUCAAUGAACACAAAAGAGAAGGGUGCAGAUACAAGAGUGACUCUAAAACAAGUUAGUAAUCAUGUGCACCUUCAUCAUCCUUUUCCUUUUAGUCUUUUAGCAUUGUAUAUAUCACAAACACAUCUACUGUCCAUGAUAACAGUGAGUUUUUUUUUACUUUUUUGGCUUUGUUUUGUUCUCAAAAGGAAACAAGUCUUCAAUAGUUUUUUUACCCCAGUCUUUAAUCAAUGUUUAUUUUUCCUUAUUUGCAACUAACGGGUAUAGAAAUUUUGCAUCAAAAAAUACAUAUCUAAAAAAACAACACAUAAAGUAAUAAGAAAAGCAAAAAAAUGCACUUAGGUAGCAAUAAAAAUCAAAACCCCAACUUCUAUACACUCUUAUUAGAUAUCAUAUACCCAACACUUUCCCCAUAAAAUCCACACCUCAGAAACCCAUUUCCAUCACCAAAUUACCCAGAUAACACACAAAAGAAAAAUCCACAAAAACACAAAACAAUCCUCAACCACAAAAUACAUUCAUCAACCAUUUUCUUUACCUAAAAUCAUCUUCCAUACAAUCAAUCCAAAAGUAUACAUGUAUAGAAAAGACACAGUACAUACAAGUUGAAAACGAGAAAAAAGGCAUCUAGAGGAGAUGAAAUGGGAUAAUGUAGAAAGUGAAAGCCAUGAGCAAAACCAAUCUCAAAUCUUCCAAUAUCAAUGCGUGGAGGAUGGUUAGGCGGAGAGACUAUACAAGGUGUUCAUUCCUAACUUGACUUGUGCAUAUGAAAUUAUGAACCAUAUAUGUGAUAUACUAAGGUGCUGUGUUUCUUAUUUUUUAUUUUAAAAGAAUAUAUAUAUAAAUAUAUAGAUUUUGGGAAAACGGAUUAAAAAUACAUUGUAUCCUAUGUUGUCAUACUAAUUUAUACAAUCUUAAAAAAGGAUUAAUGCAAGUGUCCAUGAAUAUGGAAUUUUAUUCAAUAUUCUCUAUAAAGCGCAAAUUAAUUUUUUUUAAGUAAAAAAUUAUUAAUUUUGGAAUCCAAUAACAAAAUUACAACUCAUAUUGUCUUUCUCCUCGCGUCGAGCUAAGAAUCGGUCGCAAUUACAGAUAUUGUUUCUGAUAUUUAUCGAAGUGAGAAUAUAGGAUAAGCAAUCCAUGUUGACAUGUCGUCAAUUUGUUCCACUUCAAUUAAGUUCAAACAAAAUUUUAAUUUCAACCAAUUCAUCAAUUUUCAAACUAGAACUAUAUAGUCUUGAUUCUCUAUUGCUCAUAGAGAUACGUAUGAGCAAGAUCUCAUAUUGUCAGACAUAAUAAAAAUAAAAAUACUUUGUUUUAUUAAUUAUUAUUUUUAAAUUAAGGGUAUGAUAAAGUCUAUGCAAUUAGUAAGGGUAUCAUCUUAGUAUGAGUGAACAAUGUGUUAAUACCUUUCCUGAUUUAUAAUUGACUCCCGAGUCCAAACCUCUAAGUAAAAAGACCAUUUUAUCCAAUUGGGCUCAAUUUGAAUUUUCCACGUUUUAACUACAAAAGACAUGGUGGUAAAUACGAUCAAUGUCACGUCCUAAUUUUCAGCUAUGUGACCUUUCGAAGUUAACAUUAUGUUUUUUACGGUUAAAACAUAGAAAACUCUUUUAAGCUUAAUUUAUGAUGAAAUGGUCUUUCACGCCAUAUUCUACUUAGAGAUGAACUUUUUAAUAAUUACCCUUUCAUCUUUUUAUUAGAUGAGGCAACAACACUCGUGUUCGCACCACACUCAUAUUAAAGAGAUAAUUUAUUUAUUAAUUAAUUUUUGUUUAUCUACUUUUAAUAUAAUGAGGCAGCAACUCUCAUGUCCACACCUCACACAUUUUUAAGAGAUAAGUUUUUAUUGAUUAUCGGUUCACUUUGAGACAAUGUGUCUACUUCAUUAUUGAAUAAUUUUUUUUAAUUAUUAUUUAUUAAUAUAUGCUAUUAUCACAUUAUUAUUUAUCAUCCAAAAUUAUUUAAUAUUUCUAAUUAGCGUUAUAAAAAAAUUGUUUAUAAAAUAAUUUUUACUAUUAUUAUUCGAAAAAAUAAAUGAAUAGAAAAACACAAUUAUAUACCUCAAUUUGGGAUAAUAUGGGAUAAUGUGGUAAUCUAGAAUUGAAGGGGUGAUCGUGUGUUUAGAGAGAGAAGAUUUAAGUUGAUGUGUCGCAAGCGGAGUGGAGAUUUCGUGGAGGCUAACAAUUGGAUGAGGGAAGGGUGCACGACGCCUAACCAUACACUUGACCGCACAAAUUUCACCCUAAAAGAGAGACAAGAUUCCAUGUGGAGAGACACAGCCGAACUGACUAAUGUGUCACAAUCUUAUUGGUUAAAGCGACAGUCAACACAGUGGCUGAGAAAAAUAUCACACAUUGACGAUGAGAAUGGGUGGAGGUAGUGGUGCAGCAUUUAGCAUGCACCAGACUGCAUGGGAUAAUUUCAGUAUGUCACAUUUUCCUACGCUUGUGACACGCUUUUUUACACAGGUUUUUCUAGAUUAUUCUUAUUUUUACAAUAGGAUAUUCUUAUGAAGAAAUAUAUAUGUUCCUUAAACUUUAGAUUAUCAUAGUAAUAAAUAAGUUAUUUAUUAUAUUUUGAUAUCGGACACCUAAUGUCUUGUGAUGUUAGUUGAAUGAUUAUUGAGUAUAAUUAAAUGCUUGUAGGAUUAAUGAUUAAUCAAGAGAGAAUCCAUCAACUCAUGUUAAUGAGUUUGAGCUCUAUAGAAAUAAAGAGCUUGGCCAAGGGAAAUUGAAUGAAUGAAGAAAUGAGUUUCUUAAGUCAUUCAGUAUGAGUUAACUUAUUAGAAUUUGACAAUUAUACCAUAUUCUAGAGUUAACAUAGAGUUGUAAAGAUGGAAAGAAACAUUAUAGUAAUCUUCUAAUGGUUCUAAAGUAAAAGAUAUUACUUCAUUUCUAACCAGUCGUUAAGGAGUGUUGCUAGAUGCCAACCUUAAUUAGUAAAUUAAUGAGUUAACUUACUACCGGUUUAGUAAUGAACCUACGGGGUCACACACUAACGAGUGUUCUGAUUUUGUUGGACGAGAAAAUAUUAUUGUUUAAAUUAAACAAUUUAAUUUAUAUAUUUUCUUUUAAGCGGAAUAUUAUUGUAUUUUUUGCUAGCACCAAAAAUAAAAUAAUAUCAUUUAGUCAUCUAUAAUAUAUAAUUUAGUGAGACUUAAUUUAUAUAUUUCAAUGAGUUGUUUAAAUUAGUAAAACAAAUAAGAUUAGUUGUUUUUUAAACAUUUAAAAACAAAAACCCAAGUGUAGUGGGGUUGGUUGCGGAAAGAAAGCAACCAAAAGGUUGAAGUGAUUUUGUUUUUAUCUAUAACUAGUGUGUACAGACACUUCGUGUCUGCAGACGAAUAUUAUGUGAUACUACAUAUUCAAUUUUUAUAUAUUUCAUUUUUUUGAAUUAGAAUGUAUUUGUUGUAUUCAGUGUACUUUAUAUUAUAUUUUUUGUGUUUAUGAUAAUGUUUAAUUUAAGGUGAGAUAUGUGGUUAAUUAAUGUAUUGGUGGUGGUUGCUUAGGAUUAUAUAGUUUUUUUGUAAAAAUCAAAUAAUGUGAAGGGAAAAAUAGGAAAUGAAAAUUACACCAUGAGGGAAGUUAUUUCAAGUUUUAACUUUAUAUAUAGUAUAGAUAACAAAAGGAAAAAGCCAAGGCAUUAUGAAUGAACGCACUGCAUAAACAAAAGAAGACUUUGGUUCUCUUCUUUGGUUCUUUGGUUCUUUGGUUUUGAAACAUUGAAAUAUAAUUUAGGUUAAUUUCUCGGUUCCACGGAUCAAGUGUUGAUACAACAAGGACCAAUCUCGAUGCAGAUACACAUGUAGGACCUUCAUACGUUUGAAGGAGAAAAUUUUAUGAAGUCAUCACAGUCUCCUCAG